CCGAGUUUACAACUCCCAAACCCAUGUGAACUUACCUUUGUUGCCUCGGCAGGACCUACCCUGUAGCUACCCUGUAGCUACCCUGUAGCCUGCCGAUGGACUACUAAACUCUUGUUAUUAUAUGGAAAUCUGAGCGUCUUAUUAAAUAAGUCA
This 153-nucleotide unclassified non-coding RNA is filed under the name uncultured Phlogicylindrium. RNAcentral's name for it is "sequence contains ITS1". The record is from RNAcentral. Lineage: Eukaryota; Fungi; Ascomycota; Sordariomycetes.